UACGAAGGGGGCUAGCGUUGUUCGGAGUUACUGGGCGUAAAGGGCGCGUAGGCGGCGCAUCAAGUCAGGCGUGAAAGCCCUGGGCUCAACCCGGGGAAUUGCGCUUGAGACUGGUGUGCUUGAGUACGGGAGAGGAUAGUGGAAUUCCCAGUGUAGAGGUGAAAUUCGUAGAUAUUGGGAAGAACACCGGUGGCGAAGGCGGCUAUCUGGACCGUAACUGACGCUGAGGCCGCGAAAGCGUGGGGAGCAAACAGG
RNAcentral lists this ribosomal RNA (255 nucleotides) under uncultured bacterium. RNAcentral's name for it is "partial 16S ribosomal RNA". It matches the Rfam family "Bacterial small subunit ribosomal RNA", at positions 524 to 776 of the family's 1533-position model. The record is from RNAcentral.